CAGCAGCCGCGGGAAUACGUAGGUCCCGAGCGUUGUCCGGAUUUAUUGGGCGUAAAGCGAGCGCAGGCGGUUAGAUAAGUCUGAAGUUAAAGGCUGUGGCUUAACCAUAGUACGCUUUGGAAACUGUUUAACUUGAGUGCAGAAGGGGAGAGUGGAAUUCCAUGUGUAGCGGUGAAAUGCGUAGAUAUAUGGAGGAACACCGGUGGCGAAAGCGGCUCUCUGGUCUGUAACUGACGCUGAGGCUCGAAAGCGUGGGGAGCAAACAGGAUUAGAUACCCCCGUAGUCCCUGUCUCUUAUACC
This 301-nucleotide ribosomal RNA is filed under the name uncultured bacterium. RNAcentral describes it as "partial 16S ribosomal RNA". It matches the Rfam family "Bacterial small subunit ribosomal RNA", at positions 509 to 808 of the family's 1533-position model. The record is from RNAcentral.